GGCAGUUAACACUGGGUCAGCCCCCAGAGGAAAAGCCCGGGUGCGGGGCUGUGACGAAGUGGGACUGUUCUUAAUGUUUCCUCUGAAUAGUGUGGGGGUGCCUCAGUUUCCCCUAUGCAGUUCUUAAGUAUCUAGGGGGUGGAGUAAGGGUGUAUGAUCAUUGCAGAGCCCUAGAGGGCAGGUGUGUGCAGGAGUCUGGACACAGAGAAUGGCCGACACCCUGUUUCCUGGCAACUGAUGGCCUGGGCCCUUCCCCCCCUGCAAGGUGAGAGCUGAAGGGUUGGAGAACAAAGGAAUCAGGUGACCACCUGGCCCGGGAAAGGAACAAAGCCCAGAGGAGGAGGGGCUGGAGGGGGUUUCAGUUUGGGGCUGGCUGGGACAUGGAGUGAAGUGCAGACGUGGUUGUCUGGCUCACUGCCCCCCAAAAUGGACCCAGCUGAGGGGUCCCGUUCUCUGCACCUGCAAGCUCUGUGUUAGACCAUGUUCCUGUCGUCUAAUAAACCUUCUGUUUUACUGGCUGGCUGAGAGUCACGUCUGACUGCGAAGUUGGGGUGCAGGACCCUCUGGCUUCCCCAGGAGCCCCGCCUGAGCGGACUCGCUGUGGGAAGCGCACGGAGGGGCAGAGGAUGCUGAAUGCUCCGAGGUCAGACCCAGGAAGGUGGAAGCUGUGUGAGCUGCGUGUCCUGAAGACAGGCUGCUCACAGAAAGGCGACUGCCCCAGAGUCCUGACUGGCUUCAUGGGGAGCAGUUCCAGAGCAUCGCCCAGGGACUCCGUGACAGGGGCAAAGAAAGAGACGGCUGCUGUCACCCUCAGAGCUCCUCGGGCCAGGUGACACUUCCAGUCCCGGCACAUUGAUCUGCGGAACAGACGCCCCGAUUCCUGGACACGCCUGCCCCCACCGUCCCUUGGUCCAGUGACAAGCAGACAAGCUCCAACAGGAGAUCAUUCAGGGCAGUUCUGCGGCCGGCGUUCUUCACAGCUCAGCCUAGACGAUCGCCGUCGUCCCUCCUGGCCCUGGAAUCGAGGGCGCUAUUCGGCACGCCAGGAGAUGGCCGGUGAGAGUGCCAGGCAGCGAGACGGUGCCGGCCAGCGGGCUCAGCUCACCGGCUGCUAGAUCGCAGUGGGAACACUUUGGUCCAG
Molecule: non-coding RNA, 1141 nt
Organism: Caretta caretta (loggerhead turtle)
Lineage: Eukaryota; Metazoa; Chordata; Testudines; Cheloniidae
Source: RefSeq, a predicted model, not a curated record